UACGUAGGGGGCUAGCGUUGUCCGGAUUUAUUGGGCGUAAAGAGCGUGUAGGCGGCCAGGUAGGUCUGGUGUGAAAACUCGAGGCUUAACCUUGAGAUGUCAUCGGAAACCAUUUGGCUAGAGUCCGGAAGAGGAAAGUGGAAUUCCCAGUGUAGCGGUGAAAUGCGUAGAUAUUGGGAGGAACACCAGUGGCGAAGGCGGCUCACUGGACCGGAACUGACGCUGAGGCGCGAAAGCGUGGGGAGCAAACAGG
This 253-nucleotide ribosomal RNA is filed under the name uncultured bacterium. RNAcentral describes it as "partial 16S ribosomal RNA". It matches the Rfam family "Bacterial small subunit ribosomal RNA", at positions 524 to 776 of the family's 1533-position model. The record is from RNAcentral.